This 29-nucleotide non-coding RNA is filed under the name Rattus norvegicus (Norway rat). Lineage: Eukaryota; Metazoa; Chordata; Mammalia; Rodentia; Muridae. The record is from RNAcentral.
CAGAAGAAAUUAACCAUGUGCCUCUCUAC